RNAcentral lists this ribosomal RNA (465 nucleotides) under Vreelandella stevensii. Its description in RNAcentral is "partial 16S ribosomal RNA". It matches the Rfam family "Bacterial small subunit ribosomal RNA", at positions 338 to 795 of the family's 1533-position model. The record is from RNAcentral. Lineage: Bacteria; Pseudomonadati; Pseudomonadota; Gammaproteobacteria; Oceanospirillales; Halomonadaceae.
CCUACGGGGGGUUGCAGUGGGGAAUAUUGGACAAUGGGCGAAAGCCUGAUCCAGCCAUGCCGCGUGUGUGAAGAAGGCCUUCGGGUUGUAAAGCACUUUCAGUGGGGAAGAAAGCCUUGGGGCUAAUACCCUCGAGGAAGGACAUCACCCACAGAAGAAGCACCGGCUAACUCCGUGCCAGCAGCCGCGGUAAUACGGAGGGUGCGAGCGUUAAUCGGAAUUACUGGGCGUAAAGCGCGCGUAGGCGGUCUGAUAAGCCGGUUGUGAAAGCCCCGGGCUCAACCUGGGAACGGCAUCCGGAACUGUCAGGCUAGAGUGCAGGAGAGGAAGGUAGAAUUCCCGGUGUAGCGGUGAAAUGCGUAGAGAUCGGGAGGAAUACCAGUGGCGAAGGCGGCCUUCUGGACUGACACUGACGCUGAGGUGCGAAAGCGUGGGUAGCAAACAGGAUUAGAUACCCUAGUAGUC